Molecule: ribosomal RNA, 334 nt
Filed under: uncultured bacterium
Lineage: Bacteria
Description: bacterial SSU rRNA
Rfam family: Bacterial small subunit ribosomal RNA
Source: RNAcentral
GACGAACGCUGGCGGCGUGCUUAACACAUGCAAGUCGAGCGGAAAGGCCCUUCGGGGUACUCGAGCGGCGAACGGGUGAGUAACACGUGAGAAACCUGCCCUGGACUUUGGGAUAACCCUCGGAAACGGGGGCGUAAUACCGGAUAUGACAUUCGACCGCAUGGUUGUUUGUGGAAAGUUUUUCGGUCUGGGAUGGUCUCGCGGCCUAUCAGCUUGUUGGUGGGGUAAUGGCCUACCAAGGCGACGACGGGUAGCCGGCCUGAGAGGGCGACCGGCCACACUGGGACUGAGACACGGCCCAGACUCCUACGGGAGGCAGCAGUGGGGAAUAUUG